RNAcentral lists this ribosomal RNA (301 nucleotides) under uncultured bacterium. RNAcentral describes it as "partial 16S ribosomal RNA". It matches the Rfam family "Bacterial small subunit ribosomal RNA", at positions 509 to 807 of the family's 1533-position model. The record is from RNAcentral.
CAGUCGCCGCGGUAAGACGAACCGUGCGAACGUUAUUCGGAAUCACUGGGCUUAAAGCGCGUGUAGGCGGGAGGGCACGUCCGUCGCUGAAAUCCCCCGGCUCAACCGGGGAACGGGCGCGGAUACGACUCUUCUGGAGGAACGUAGGGGGACCUGGAACUUCCGGUGGAGCGGUGAAAUGCGUUGAGAUCGGAAGGAACGCCUGUGGCGAAAGCGAGGUCCUGGACGUUUACUGACGCUGAGACGCGAAAGCCAGGGGAGCGAACGGGAUUAGAUACCCGUGUAGUCCCUGUCUCUUAUA